Molecule: ribosomal RNA, 276 nt
Filed under: Triticum aestivum (bread wheat)
Lineage: Eukaryota; Viridiplantae; Streptophyta; Magnoliopsida; Poales; Poaceae
Description: partial small subunit ribosomal RNA
Source: RNAcentral
AUGGAGGACAAGGGGACAGCAGCUGCAGCGGCGCCUUCGGAGAAGGAGGCGCAGGCGGUGGCGGCGACGUCGUGCUUCAAGAGGACGGUGGGCGAGGACGCGUCGCUGUUGGAGCUGGCCAAGGACCAGUACCGGCAGUUCGCGGAGGCGCAGGGUCGGGACCACUGGGAGUGCAUCAAGAACAAGGUCAGCUCCAUGUUCGCCGACCCCAUCCUCGGCGGAGGCGCCAAGGACCACGGCUCAACCAACACGACGCCGCCCGUCGAGUCGCAGUAG